Chlorocebus sabaeus (green monkey) is the source of this 4612-nucleotide non-coding RNA. The record is from RefSeq and is a predicted model, not a curated record. Lineage: Eukaryota; Metazoa; Chordata; Mammalia; Primates; Cercopithecidae.
UUAUCUCUCCCUAGGUCCCUCCCACAACACAUGGGAAUUCUGGGAGGUACGAUUCAAGUUGAUAUUUGGGUGGGGACACAGCCAAACCUUAUCCAUAGCCAACACAGUCCUGGCCUGUGGCUGGUGUUGAGCUGAGCUGCGACUGUGGCUGUGUGAGUUGGGGUGCGAGGCGUGCGCACGCCUCUCAGUGGUACAGUGAAAGGAUUUGGAGGCUCAAACGUGUGACCUACAAAGAAUCUCCAAAGAUCAAGGUCUAUUCACCCUAAAAAGAAAAAUCUCAGCACAGUUUACAGCCAGUGUUUGCUUGUGGAUAUGGAUUCUGCAGUAAUAAAAUGAAUAAUUAAAAGUCUGUGAAUAAAUUUUAAUGUCUUUACUGGAAUUGUAAACACUGAUUUUCUUUCCUCACCUACCCAUCUAUUGGUGAGUUUCAGAAGGUGGAUGAACCGUGCUGCGGGGACAGAGAGGAGGGUAUAGAGCUUGGCCUCUGGGACUUCAGCUGAGCACUGAGUGACUGAGCUCUCUCCGUUUCAGACGUCCACACGGAAGCUGUCUGGGCAGCUCUGGCCAAACACAAAGAGUGGAAGAUGGCGGUGCCUAUGCCUUCCAAACGCAGGUCCCUGGUCGUGCAGACCUCCAUGGAUGCCUACACCCUUCCAGGCUUGUCUUCUCAAAGGACCUGAAUCACCUUACAUCCCACGUUGAAGCUACAUAUCACUUUAAAUGACACCGUGUUUUUUGUCCAAUACAAGAGAAACUUAAGGUAAAAAGCUGAGCAAACUGAAAAAUCAGCAGCUCUUCUUAAGCCAGCAAGAAACCUGAGGUCACAGGCAAGCCACUGUCCCCAGAUUGGCUGGACAGGUAAAGCGGAGAAUCACCAUACACUGGAGCACAAUGCUCCAAGGAACCCACGCUGGGAAUGGAAACCCUGAACUGGAAUUGACAAAUUGCUGCAGUGAGGUGUGGCCACGUCUGAGAGUUAAAACCUCCAGGAGGCCUGUGCAUAUGGGUCUCAUGCUUUUGUGAGUUGUAUCAUCAGAAGCUCAACCAGGUUCUCGAAGUGUAAAUAUCAGAGAAAAAUCCCCUCACACUUACUACAGGGGAAAGAGAAUAAGAAUCAUUUUUCAGUAUGCAGGUGCACUCUUCACUAGGUCUACCUUCCAGAGAAGCUAGUUAACUAGAGACUAACCUGGUGGGAUUUUAUCAGAGCCUUCUGACCUGAGGGAAAGGAAAUACCCAACUCCAACCUCCAGAACUGAAAAGCAAAAAAGAACAGAGUAUCCAAGCACUAUGGGACGUCUAUAGAGGCAUAAAAUAUGCAUAACGGUAAUACAAGGGGAAAGAAAGGAACAGAAGAAAUAUUUGUAACAGUAAUAGCUGAAUUUCCUCAGAUUAAUGCCAGACACCAAGCCAUAGAUCCAGGAAGCUCAAGAAACACUAAGAUUCUCUUAAAUAUUACAAAUUACAAUAUUAAUAUUUAUUAAUUAUAAUAGUUAUAAUUACAAUAAUUUAAUAGUACAUUUGUGAUAUUAAAUAUUACAAUUAAAAUGCAAACUAGAAACAAAUUGUUUCUAAAAACCAAGAAGUGUGGAUUCUAUGAAGCUGAUUUCUUUUAUUCUCUCUAAAUUCUAAGCCUUUCAAAGAAUAAAAUCACACACACAUUAAUAAACUACAGCAGGCGAAACAAAUGAGGCCGCCCUCUGUGACAUGGAAGGCCCUAUGACCUAUUCCACCUCUUCUAACACCAGGUGUGCGGUUUCUCUCACCCUGACCAGUUCUCUGUAUCUCUGGACACCAACUGUGUAUUCUACAACUGAAUUCAGGUCUGAAAUUAGGGCAGACCGCCCCCGCUUCACCAAUGGCAAGUUUCAGGUUUCCCUUGCUUCUGACCGACCACCUAAAAAUCAGGGUUGCCAUGUUCUUCUACUUAAGGUCAAUAACUUGCCAGACUGGCUCAUGGCACCCAGGGCAACACCCUUACCUACUGUCACCAGUUUACUAUGAAGGACCUGUGAACAGCCAGAUGAAGAGGUGCAUUGCUCCAGGCCUGGUGGGCGGGGGCGGGUUGCAAGUACAAGUGCUUCUGUUCCUGGGGAGUGGGAAUGCUGCCCUCCCAGAACUUCAAGGUUUUCCCCAACCUGCAAGCUCUCCAACCCCCACCAUUUAGGGUUUUAGAGAGGUGUCACUGUAGACAUGGUUGAUGACAUCUUUGGCUAUUGGGGAUUGACUCAUCUCCAGCCCUCUCCCUCCAGGUCAGAGGUUGGGUUGGAGACUGACAGCUCCAGCCCUCUAGUCCUGCCUUGGUCUUUCUGAACCCCAGACCCACUCUGAAACUGCCUAGGGGUCCCCAGCUCCCAGGCCUGUCCUGAGUACACAAAGGCACUCUGACAGUCUAAAGAUUCCAAGGGUCUUAGACGCUCUGUGCCCAGAACCAGAUGAAGACCAAAUAGCUAUGUCUCCUUGGAUGGCACAAUCACAAGCUCUCAUCAGCUGAUGGUCUGGAGCAGGUGUGCCGAGAGAGCUUUGCUGUGGCCCUGUUGCUGGGAAUCUUUGUUUUCAAUCCUUGCUGGGCCAACAGAUGCUCUCUGGUCAUUCCCCAAGCUGGUUGAAUUUACAGUCUUUUCCGUUUGAUUCCACUGUUCUGGCCCAGUUCUUCUGAAGCCUCUUUCAACAUCUUUGCCUCACCUGGGCGCUGAGAUCUUGUGACCCUCACCCAGCAGGAGAUACGGAUGUCAGGAUCCGGCUACCCUACUUACAGUUGGAUUGUGAAGAAGCCAGUCCUAAGCCUUCCCUUCCUAGGUCUCUUUAAUGCCAGAAAGGAGAUAUUUUUAUUUCAUUUUAGGUCGAUACGAGUGACAUACAAAUUUGAGUCGGCCAGUUCACUUGCCAGGCACCUGACUCUUCUGGAUUAGAAGAGUCUGGGUAAGUCUGGAUAAGAAACAGGCCCCAUACUGCCAGGACACAGAAGGGCAGCCUCGGUCCCCACAGGGUCAUGACAGAAAACCACAGCUCCCGCAACUGUAGGAAUUCUACAGAUUUUCACACUUAGAAGAAAAUGCCGCCCAGGAGUACCCACCCCGAUUAAUUUUCUCAAAAGUGGUUUUGCAAAGGCUCAGAAGAAAAGUCAGGACGCAGGGCGCCAGCCAGCCCCACCUUCCCAAAAUCACUUGCCCCGGGGCCACCCACCUGCAAUCAAACUGUUGAGAUGGGUUUUUAUUCUCAGCUGUUACCAGAGCAAAUAUUCUUGGAGAAGCAUGCAUUAGAGUAGGGUGCCUCUUUACAGAGGUCCUGGAGAGUGAGGCUUCAGCAAGUCACUGGCCAGGGACUCCGGGAACUUCACGGUUGGGGGGCUGGAGGUUAGAGGGGACAGAACCCUAACGGUGGGUGAGCUGAAAAUGGAAGAGCGUUCUUCACCUCAGAGUCUCCUGGGGCCUUUCCCUUCAGGAGCUGAAGGGGUGAGGGCUGUACAGUCUCGGACAGGUGCUGCCCGGGCUUCGAGAGCUGACGCAUCUGUCCCCAGAGCUGGGCAGCCGCCAGCCCAACCCACCCUGUAAUAACUGAAGUCCUUUGUCCCCACCCAGCCCCAGUCUGGGGGUCUGGUGCACGCUGUCCUUGAUCAACCCAUGCCAUACAUGAAGUGAUGAUGUCAAUUUCCUACUUGAACUGCCCCCCCCCCCAUGCAAAGUAUACCUUCUGGACAUUGGAUAAAAGACACCCCUUAAUGUAGCCCCAAGGCCUCUGCUCUCCAUGAACCUCCUGAGGGCGACUGCAGCAUGGCGAGCAGGGAGCCACGGGCUUCUUGGUAAAAGUGUAAAAUGAAGCUCUGUCUGAAAGGACCCCCAUCUGUUAGAUUUGGAAAACAGCUAAAGGCCGUUUGCUUUUCACAAUGAGUAGACUCUUAGGAAUGUAUUCUAAGGAAAGGCAGAAGAUAUGGAGAAACAAAUUCAACAAGAAUAUUCUUUGCAGCAAUAGCAAGGGAGGAAGGGAGGGAGAGGGAAGAGAGGAAAAGGGGAACAGAGAAACAGGCAGAUGAGACAGAGAAACAGAGACAGAGAGAGGCAGAGAGAGCACCUAGCUUGUUUUCAACUUGACCUCCUGGGAGAGUCUAGCAGGAUCAUAGAAUCCUCAGCACACUCUUGUGCUGGGGCAGCCAAGUUUCAAGCCAAAGUUUCCCAAACUAAAAGGUAACAAAUGCUAAGACUGAAGAAGCUGUGCACGUUCUUUUCCAGCUCCUUUUUGCAGCAUCAGCAGAAUGGGGCAGGUUGCUGCGUUCGUUCUAAAAAUCAAAACUGCAAGAGGAACCAGCUGCAGAGAGGGGCGUGGGAGGGCAGAUGUUCUCUUGCUGACUGAACUCACACCCCGGAGAGCGCCAGCGCCUAAUGCCGCCUCCACAGGUUCCACGGAGGACACAGGAGAGUCUGUGGCCACGUGAGGAGCAGACUCACAUUUCUAUGGCUCCCUCCCUCCCUCUAUGAGCUGUAUCCCAUGAGUCCUGCUCACUCCCCUCGGUCCCGAUGCCCUAGCCUUCAGCAUCUCUGCCAAUCUUCAUGAAAGAGCCUGUUGCACCGCAGUCCAGCAGGGCCACAAUAUUCAGAUGAAAAUUGUAAUGAUCACU